UACGUAGGGUGCGAGCGUUAAUCGGAAUUACUGGGCGUAAAGCGUGCGCAGGCGGUUUUUUAAGACAGGCGUGAAAUCCCCGGGCUUAACCUGGGAACGGCGCUUGUGACUGGAAGGCUAGAGUACGGCAGAGGGGGGUGGAAUUCCACGUGUAGCAGUGAAAUGCGUAGAGAUGUGGAGGAACACCAAUGGCGAAGGCAGCCCCCUGGGUCGAUACUGACGCUCAUGCACGAAAGCGUGGGGAGCAAACAGG
RNAcentral lists this ribosomal RNA (253 nucleotides) under uncultured bacterium. RNAcentral's name for it is "partial 16S ribosomal RNA". It matches the Rfam family "Bacterial small subunit ribosomal RNA", at positions 524 to 776 of the family's 1533-position model. The record is from RNAcentral.